GACGGACGCUGGCGGCGUGCUUAACACAUGCAAGUCGAACGGAAAGGCCCUUCGGGGUACUCGAGUGGCGAACGGGUGAGUAACACGUGGGUGAUCUGCCCUGCACUUUGGGAUAAGCCUGGGAAACUGGGUCUAAUACCGAAUAGGACCACGCGCUUCAUGGUGUGUGGGGGAAAGCUUUUGCGGUGUGGGAUGGGCCCGCGGCCUAUCAGCUUGUUGGUGGGGUAAUGGCCUACCAAGGCGACGACGGGUAGCCGGCCUGAGAGGGUGACCGGCCACACUGGGACUGAGAUACGGCCCAGACUCCUACGGGAGGCAGCAGUGGGGAAUAUUGCACAAUGGGCGCAAGCCUGAUGCGGCGACGCCGCGUGAGGGAUGACGGCCUUCGGGUUGUAAACCUCUUUCAAUAGGGACGAAGCGCAAGUGACGGUACCUAUAGAAGAAGCACCGGCCAACUACGUG
This 462-nucleotide ribosomal RNA is filed under the name uncultured bacterium. RNAcentral describes it as "partial 16S ribosomal RNA". It matches the Rfam family "Bacterial small subunit ribosomal RNA", at positions 28 to 507 of the family's 1533-position model. The record is from RNAcentral.